This 254-nucleotide ribosomal RNA is filed under the name uncultured bacterium. RNAcentral describes it as "partial 16S ribosomal RNA". It matches the Rfam family "Bacterial small subunit ribosomal RNA", at positions 524 to 776 of the family's 1533-position model. The record is from RNAcentral.
UACGUAGGGGGCAAGCGUUGUCCGGAUUUAUUGGGCGUAAAGAGCUCGUAGGCGGUUGGGCAAGUCACGUGUGAAAUCUCCACGCUCAACGUGGAGGCGCCACGUGAGACUGCCCUGACUCGAGUCCGGUAGGGGAGCGUGGAAUUCCCGGUGUAGCGGUGAAAUGCGCAGAGAUCGGGAGGAACACCCGUAGCGAAGGCGGCGCUCUGGGCCGGUACUGACGCUGAGGAGCGAAAGCAUGGGUAGCGAACAGG